GAUCUGGUUCAGGAUGAACGCUAGCUACAGGCUUAACACAUGCAAGUCGAGGGGCAUCAGGAGACUAGCUUGCUAGUUCGCUGGCGACCGGCGCACGGGUGCGUAACACGUAUCCAACCUACCCAUGGCUCAGGGAUAGCCUUUCGAAAGAAAGAUUAAUACCUGAUGGUUUCCUUCACCCGCAUGGGUGUAUGAAUAAAGAUUCAUCGGCGAUGGAUGGGGAUGCGUCCGAUUAGCUUGUUGGCGGGGUAACGGCCCACCAAGGCGACGAUCGGUAGGGGCUCUGAGAGGAGGAUCCCCCACACUGGAACUGAGACACGGUCCAGACUCCUACGGGAGGCAGCAGUGAGGAAUAUUGGUCAAUGGGCGAAGGCCUGAACCAGCCAAAAGUAGCGUGAGGGACGACUGCCCUAUGGGUUGUAAACCUCUUUUGUUUGGGAAUAAAGGACCCCACGUGUGGGGUUUUGCAUGUACCUUACGAAUAAGCAUCGGCUAAUUCCGUGCCAGCCGCUGC
This 514-nucleotide ribosomal RNA is filed under the name uncultured bacterium. RNAcentral describes it as "bacterial SSU rRNA". It matches the Rfam family "Bacterial small subunit ribosomal RNA", at positions 15 to 518 of the family's 1533-position model. The record is from RNAcentral.